GCGGGAGUGCUGGAACAGGCAGACAGGCACGUUUGAGGGGCGUGUGUCAGACUGACGUGUGGGUUCAAGUCCCAUCUCCCGCACCA
RNAcentral lists this transfer RNA (86 nucleotides) under Thermoanaerobacterales bacterium. Its description in RNAcentral is "tRNA-Leu". It matches the Rfam family "tRNA". From Rfam's summary of the family: Transfer RNA (tRNA) molecules are approximately 80 nucleotides in length. Their secondary structure includes four short double-helical elements and three loops (D, anti-codon, and T loops). The record is from RNAcentral. Lineage: Bacteria; Bacillati; Bacillota; Clostridia; Thermoanaerobacterales.